This 440-nucleotide ribosomal RNA is filed under the name uncultured bacterium. Its description in RNAcentral is "partial 16S ribosomal RNA". It matches the Rfam family "Bacterial small subunit ribosomal RNA", at positions 338 to 795 of the family's 1533-position model. The record is from RNAcentral.
CCUACGGGUGGCAGCAGUGGGGGAUAUUGCACAAUGGGGGAAACCCUGAUGCAGCGACGCCGCGUGAGUGAAGAAGUAUUUCGGUAUGUAAAGCUCUAUCAGCAGGGAAGAAAAUGACAGUAUCUGACCAAGAAGCCCCGGCUAAAUACGUGCCAGCCGCCGCGGUAAUACGUAGGGGGCACGCAUUAAACGGAUUUACUGGGUGUAAAGGGAGCGUAGACGGGUAUGUGAGUCUGGUGUGCAAGCCCGGGGCCCAAACCUGGGACUGCUUUGGAAACUGGGUAGCUGGAGUACAGCAGAGGCAGGCGGAAUUCCUGGUGUAGCGGUGAAAUGCGUAGAUAUCAGGAGGAACACCGGUGGCGAAGGCGGCCUACUGGACUGAGACUGACGUUGAGGCUCGAAAGCGUGGGGAGCAAACAGGAUUAGAUACCCGAGUAGUC